UACGGAGGGGGCUAGCGUUGUUCGGAAUUACUGGGCGUAAAGCGCACGUAGGCGGCUUUGUAAGUUAGAGGUGAAAGCCCGGGGCUCAACUCCAGAACUGCCUUUGAAACUGCAUCGCUAGAAUCAUGGAGAGGUUAGUGGAAUUCCGAGUGUAGAGGUGAAAUUCGUAGAUAUUCGGAAGAACACCAGUGGCGAAGGCGACUAACUGGACAUGUAUUGACGCUGAGGUGCGAAAGCGUGGGGAGCAAACAGG
This 253-nucleotide ribosomal RNA is filed under the name uncultured bacterium. RNAcentral describes it as "partial 16S ribosomal RNA". It matches the Rfam family "Bacterial small subunit ribosomal RNA", at positions 524 to 776 of the family's 1533-position model. The record is from RNAcentral.